Molecule: long non-coding RNA, 433 nt
Filed under: Mytilus galloprovincialis (Mediterranean mussel)
Lineage: Eukaryota; Metazoa; Mollusca; Bivalvia; Mytilida; Mytilidae
Source: RNAcentral
GGAAAAUUUCCCGAAUUUUUCAUUGUACUAAUGAACUCAAAAUCGUUCAAUUUUUUUUUAUGUCAUGUUUUGAAAUCCCGGACCUGCGCAGAAAUGUACAAUAUACUUCCUUUUUCCGGUCUCGUUUGUAUGAAACUUUGAGUAAAAUAUAUAUUUAUCAGUCUAGUAUAAAAUAGGAAGGAACGCGCAAUACUUAUUUCAUUUUUUAAUAUUCCUUGAUAUGAAAAAACGUUACCUAAUGAUAGCGUUUCUUGUUUACAUUGCAUAUGACGUCAUAAUUUAAAUAACGUCACAACUAAAAUCCCUAACAACAGAACCAAAAUCGGAAACGUUACUGAAUUUCCGUGUCUUUUUUUUGACAAAUAAUUGAGUUACAAAAAAAUAAUUCAUACAGACUUCGUCCCCAUUUACAGGUAAUGCCUGCCUCAUAUUA